AGUGAACGCUGGCGGUAGGCCUAACACAUGCAAGUCGAACGGCAGCACAGGAGAGCUUGCUCUCUGGGUGGCGAGUGGCGGACGGGUGAGGAAUACAUCGGAAUCUACUCUGUCGUGGGGGAUAACGUAGGGAAACUUACGCUAAUACCGCAUACGACCUACGGGUGAACGCAGGGGACCUUCGGGCCUUGCGCGAUUGAAUGAGCCGGUGUCGGAUUAGCUAGUUGGCGGGGUAAAGGCCCACCAAGGCGACGAUCCGUAGCUGGUCUGAGAGGAGGAUCAGCCACACUGGAACUGAGACACGGUCCAGACUCCUACGGGAGGCAGCAGCGGGGAAUAUUGGACAAUGGGCGCAAGCCUGAUCCAGCCAUACCGCGUGGGUGAAGAAGGCCUUCGGGUUGUAAAGCCCUUUUGUUGGGAAAGAAAUCCAGCUGGCUAAUACCCGGUUGGGAUGACGGUACCCAAAGAAUAAGCACCGGCUAACUUCGUGCCAGCCGCCGCCGUAA
This 506-nucleotide ribosomal RNA is filed under the name uncultured bacterium. RNAcentral describes it as "partial 16S ribosomal RNA". It matches the Rfam family "Bacterial small subunit ribosomal RNA", at positions 29 to 523 of the family's 1533-position model. The record is from RNAcentral.